This is a long non-coding RNA of Oxyura jamaicensis (ruddy duck), 3207 nucleotides long. RefSeq lists it as uncharacterized. The record is from RefSeq and is a predicted model, not a curated record. The transcript has 2 exons. NCBI's taxonomy places the organism in Eukaryota, Metazoa, Chordata, Aves, Anseriformes, Anatidae.
ACAGCUGACUAAGUGCUGAGCAGGCCCUUCAGCUCAAAUUAAAUCACCCUGUGGUAUCAGAAAGCACCAAUUCUAAAGAGCAUCUGGAAUGUGUGACUUCCUAUUUUCUACUUUUUCCAGAAGGGCUAAUGGAGAGAAAUGAAACUGUGCUUUGUCAAGAGAGUCAUCUCCUGCUUCUUCAGGUGAUGGAAAGCAUGUUGUAGGCUGUACUUCAAGUGCUGAAGAAAAGAAUGGCACAAUCCCCAUUGUAACUGAUGAUGAUAAGUCAGAUUUAUCCUUGCUUUUAUUGCUUCUCCAAAGCUAGUAGAAAUGCACUUGUAAAGAACUUUUUUUUUCCAUUCCCCAAGGCUCCAGAAAUAUAAUAGAAACAAAUUUCUGUCCUAGCCAUUGAUGAGUCCCUGACUGUUGCUGAUCCACAGAACCUGAGAUACCUUACUACAUGAACUUAUUUGCUCUUAUUUGGCUGCUCUUUGCAUGCAGAGCUCUUUUCCUUUCAGCUAAGCAAUGAAAGGGGCUCUGUCUGGAUUAAGUCAUGGGAUCACAUGGUAUUUAACUGCUUUGCUUGACUAAUUCCCUGAGGAAAUUUCAACAAGGGAGGCUACUUCCAUUGCCACCAUGAUUUUAAGCAAGACUAGAUAUAUAGGCUACAGCCUAUAUAUCAUGUGGAUUGAGGGGGGAGGGAGGAAGGAGGAGAGAGAAGAGCAAAGGAUGUGUGGGGGUUGUCCAUAUAUUUUGUUGUUGUUGGUUUGUUGGCUUGUGUUGUGUUGUGGUUGGAUUUUGUUAGUGUUUUUUUUUUUUUUUUUUUUUUUUUUUUCCUUUCUGGAUCUUCCCACACAACUUGUCAGUUUCUCAAGAAGUGAGACAAAAGAAUGGAAAAAGAAAUUGAAUGUGUUCUCAAUAAAAGCAGGAGAAUGACAGUCACUGACUGAGAACUAGAACUAAAAAUACUCCCCUCUAUUCUAAAGGUGAAUCUUUGAGAUAAGACUCAUUUUGCUAAUAAAAAGCAGCACAAACAGCUACUUUAACAAGUACAAAAAAACUGAGGUCCCUUUCAAAACAGAUUUGAUGCAGCUUAUUCUGACAGCAGUUUCUGUUCCUGUGUGGGUUUGGGUUUUGCUUAGAAAAAUAUUGAGAACAGUUGAUCAUUUGUGAACAAAACAGUUGUCCUUUCAAUUAUUUGUUACCACUGCUUCAGGUAAGUUGAUAACACGUGAUUGAGGAGACUAACAUUUUAACUGCCACCAAAAAGUGCUGUCUGACUUUCUUCACACUGAAUGACUUGUUCUGCUGACUAGGGAUAGGACAAUUGACCCAACAGUAACUACAAGCAAAGAUGAACAUGAGUGAUACAUCUCAAUGGUUUUUUUAUUUGUUUGUUUAAGAAUAAAAAAAUAAUCUGUCUUUUUGUACAUAAGCCUUUUGGAAUUGGCUGCUGUGUUGCAUAAGACCAGACUGACAGAAGAGGCCUCUGAGCUCUUUGGUUCUGAGUAAUUUUUGAACAACACAUACUGCCAAGAGUAAAACAAACUCAGAAAAAUACUGAGCAGAAAAAUGGCCCAGUGAAAAGUGCUGUCAGGUGAAUCACUCUUAAAUUCUGCUUUGCUGCAGUUCAUCCUUUUUGUCUGAAAAUAGUGGUUGCAAGAAUUAAAUAAGGAAAAAAUAUAGUUUUAUGUCUGAUAAUACAUAUUGCUUGAAUGAAGUCAUCAAUUAAAGCCAUUAACUCAGAGAAAGUGAGUUAAAGGACUGCAGUACAAAAUGUGACAGAAUGCGGUCUGGAACAAAGCAUAUGAAAAUACAGAAAAAUCCUGAAAGUGCUGAAACAGUUAAUCUGCUAUGCAAAUCACUAAGGUGUAAGUUGAUUAUACAGUUUUCUUACACCAUGCAUUCUGAUUUUUUCUAAUCAUAACUCAAGAAAAGAAAACAAUCCAAAAGGAGGUUCCUCACCUGGACUUAUAGUUGUGGGGCAUAGAGGGAUGUGUACAUUUUACAGGAACUACCAAAAGACACCCAGAAUAAUAGGGGCAAGGGGACUUCAGUCUUUCCAUGCAAUCCCACUUGGCUGCAGAGCCUAGGAGAGUGAUCUAUCCUGCAUAAACUAGAAAGAGUUUGCCUGAAGCUUUACAAGCCCAGACGGGUUGUAGUGUUACUCAGGUUGGGAUAAAGGAAAAAUGCUCUUGAAAGGGUUUCUUGAGAGAGCUUACACUACCUGGUAUUGUUUAUUUUCCAGAACUAUCCUGAUACCAGCUGAUCAAUGAAUAGAACAGGACUGUACUGAAUUCCUAGGCCGGGAGUGAUUAAUCAACAGCAGAUACCUAACACCAAAUUCAAAAGAUGAUUAUUUAGUCCAGAAUGUGUUAGUACUUACAAACUACAGAUGUAUUUCUCAGUAUAUAUCAUAACAUUCAUGGUAUCAGAGAAGAGUACUGUUGUGGUUUAACUGCCAAAAACAGGACAAGUACUUUAAUUCAAGGGGAAUCUCUGGAGGUCUACUUUCCAGGCAGGUCAAAAUUUCAAAGUUAAAUCAGGCUGCUGUAGUUUUGAACACCUCCAAGGAUGAAGAUUCCCCAAGUCUCUAUUGGUUCCUGUUUUCCUUUCAAAGUACAUCCCUAAGUUACAGUGUAGUAACUGGAUAAUGAGAAGAUUCUGAGAACCUUGAUUCAAACCUCGUUGUUUAAAUAUGAACUUAGUUUCUGGAAGCACUAGGUUUCUGAGAGAAAAUAUAUACAUAUAGUAUUCAAAUAUGUGUUUGAGGCAUGCAACAUAAAGUAUUUCAUAAUUAUCUCUUUCUUUCAUAACAAUUGAGUUCUCAUGCCUGUUGGAUCUGCCUGUAAAAUAAUUCUUACAGUUCAGUAAUACUUGCAACUAAAACAAGUAUAUUGAACCAUGUUUCUCCGUACAUGUGUUCUUUAUGAUCAGAAUGGUGUGAAAAGGGGACAUUUUAUGCCAUUUCUCUUUCAGUAUGUGUUUGCGAAGAUAUUUGGAAAGGGAGGCAAUAUGAAGCACUGAACACCACCACCACCUCACCCUGAGGCUUUAUGGGUGGGGAAAAAAACUGCUAUUUUAGCUUUUGAAAUGUGCAUAUGGUUUCUUUCCCUCUGAGCAGUAAAUCAGGGUAGAUGAUGCUUCAAGUGUGCAGAUGGAGCUGUACAAGUGGAAGAGAUGAGUAGUGCUAGGGGGUAACUAUUUUAAUAAAGAACUUAUCUGUGA